CAAUUCCGGUUGAUCCCGCCGGAGGCCACCGCUAUCCGCCUGGGACUAAGCCAUGCGAGUCGGAGGUGGCGCCCUCUGGGCGCUGCCUGGCGAACUGCUGAGUAACACGUAGCCAACCUACCCUGGGGAGGGGGAUAAUCCCGGGAAACUGGGGCUAAUCCCCCAUAGCUCUAAGGUACUGGAAUGUCCUUAGAGCGAAAGGCCCCGCUUUUGCGGGGUGCCCCAGGAUGGGGCUGCGGCCCAUCAGGUUGUUGCCGGGGUAACGUCCCGGCAAGCCUAUAACGGGUAGGGGCCUUGAGAGAGGGAGCCCCCAGAUGCCCUCUGAGACAUGAGGGCAGGGCCUACGGGUCGCAGCAGGCGCGAAACCUUCGCAAUGCGCGCAAGCGCGACGAGGUCAGGCGGAGUGGCUCCGCUCUGCGGAGCCUUUUCCCGAGGUUAAACACCUCGGGGAAUAAGGGGUGGGCAAGACGGGUGCCAGCCGCCACGGUAAUACCCGCGCCCCAAGUGGUGGUCGCGAUUAUUGGGCCUAAAGCGCCCGUAGCCGGGUAGGCAAGUUCCCCGUGAAAUCGGCUAGUAAACUAGCCGGCGUGCGGGGAAGACUGCCUACCUUGGGACCGGGAGAGGCCGGGGGUAUUCCCGGGGUAGGGGUAAAAUCCUCUGAUCCCGGGAGGACCACCAGUGCCGAAGGCGCCCGGCCAGAACGCGCUCGACGGUGAGGGACGAA
This 724-nucleotide ribosomal RNA is filed under the name Nanobdellota archaeon. RNAcentral describes it as "bacterial SSU rRNA". It matches the Rfam family "Archaeal small subunit ribosomal RNA", at positions 1 to 708 of the family's 1478-position model. Lineage: Archaea; Nanobdellati; Nanobdellota. The record is from RNAcentral.